RNAcentral lists this ribosomal RNA (253 nucleotides) under uncultured bacterium. RNAcentral's name for it is "partial 16S ribosomal RNA". It matches the Rfam family "Bacterial small subunit ribosomal RNA", at positions 524 to 776 of the family's 1533-position model. The record is from RNAcentral.
UACGGAGGGAGCUAGCGUUGUUCGGAUAUACUGGGCGUAAAGCGCGCGCAGGCGGCCUCGCGCGCCCGACGUGAAAGCCCCCGGCUUAACCGGGGAGGGUCGUUGGGGACGGCGGGGCUUGAGGGCGGGAGAGGUCGGUGGAAUUCCCGGUGUAGUGGUGAAAUGCGUAGAGAUCGGGAGGAACACCUGUGGCGAAGGCGGCCGACUGGGCCGACCCUGACGCUGAGGCGCGAAGGCGUGGGGAGCGAACGGG